Molecule: long non-coding RNA, 381 nt
Filed under: Cicer arietinum (chickpea)
Lineage: Eukaryota; Viridiplantae; Streptophyta; Magnoliopsida; Fabales; Fabaceae
Description: long non-coding RNA (CARI_LNC000299)
Source: RNAcentral
UGAGUUACAUGAUUACCUUGGUAAGUUAUUUCUCCACGGUGAUUCUAUUUUAUUUUAUUAUAAAAAUAUAAAACUAUGGUAAGAAUUUGGAUACACGAGUCCACUUUGGAGAAUCGCAAGUGCACUCUGCAUGAGAAUUGCAAUGUCCAGAUUUAAAACCCAUGUGUUUACAUUUUUCUGAGCAGACAUCGCUGUAACAUAGUCUAAUCACAUUGGUUUGUGCCGCAACCUCACCAUUUGCGCUGCAACAAUAUAACACAACUUUAUGAAUAAGAUUAAAGAAAGAAAAACAAAUUCAACUACAAAAGAAAGAGGCUUAUGUACCAUAGAAACAUUAAGAAGAGAGUAAAAAAAGUGAGAAAAAUAGUAUUUUGAUUUCUC